This 1531-nucleotide ribosomal RNA is filed under the name Escherichia coli DEC13E. Its description in RNAcentral is "bacterial SSU rRNA". It matches the Rfam family "Bacterial small subunit ribosomal RNA". The record is from RNAcentral. Lineage: Bacteria; Pseudomonadati; Pseudomonadota; Gammaproteobacteria; Enterobacterales; Enterobacteriaceae.
AGAGUUUGAUCAUGGCUCAGAUUGAAACGCUGGCGGCAGGCCUAACACAUGCAAGUCGAACGGUAACAGGAAGAAGCUUGCUUCUUUGCUGACGAGUGGCGGACGGGUGAGUAAUGUCUGGGAAACUGCCUGAUGGAGGGGGAUAACUACUGGAAACGGUAGCUAAUACCGCAUAACGUCGCAAGACCAAAGAGGGGGACCUUCGGGCCUCUUGCCAUCGGAUGUGCCCAGAUGGGAUUAGCUAGUAGGUGGGGUAACGGCUCACCUAGGCGACGAUCCCUAGCUGGUCUGAGAGGAUGACCAGCCACACUGGAACUGAGACACGGUCCAGACUCCUACGGGAGGCAGCAGUGGGGAAUAUUGCACAAUGGGCGCAAGCCUGAUGCAGCCAUGCCGCGUGUAUGAAGAAGGCCUUCGGGUUGUAAAGUACUUUCAGCGGGGAGGAAGGGAGUAAAGUUAAUACCUUUGCUCAUUGACGUUACCCGCAGAAGAAGCACCGGCUAACUCCGUGCCAGCAGCCGCGGUAAUACGGAGGGUGCAAGCGUUAAUCGGAAUUACUGGGCGUAAAGCGCACGCAGGCGGUUUGUUAAGUCAGAUGUGAAAUCCCCGGGCUCAACCUGGGAACUGCAUCUGAUACUGGCAAGCUUGAGUCUCGUAGAGGGGGGUAGAAUUCCAGGUGUAGCGGUGAAAUGCGUAGAGAUCUGGAGGAAUACCGGUGGCGAAGGCGGCCCCCUGGACGAAGACUGACGCUCAGGUGCGAAAGCGUGGGGAGCAAACAGGAUUAGAUACCCUGGUAGUCCACGCCGUAAACGAUGUCGACUUGGAGGUUGUGCCCUUGAGGCGUGGCUUCCGGAGCUAACGCGUUAAGUCGACCGCCUGGGGAGUACGGCCGCAAGGUUAAAACUCAAAUGAAUUGACGGGGGCCCGCACAAGCGGUGGAGCAUGUGGUUUAAUUCGAUGCAACGCGAAGAACCUUACCUGGUCUUGACAUCCACGGAAGUUUUCAGAGAUGAGAAUGUGCCUUCGGGAACCGUGAGACAGGUGCUGCAUGGCUGUCGUCAGCUCGUGUUGUGAAAUGUUGGGUUAAGUCCCGCAACGAGCGCAACCCUUAUCCUUUGUUGCCAGCGGUCCGGCCGGGAACUCAAAGGAGACUGCCAGUGAUAAACUGGAGGAAGGUGGGGAUGACGUCAAGUCAUCAUGGCCCUUACGACCAGGGCUACACACGUGCUACAAUGGCGCAUACAAAGAGAAGCGACCUCGCGAGAGCAAGCGGACCUCAUAAAGUGCGUCGUAGUCCGGAUUGGAGUCUGCAACUCGACUCCAUGAAGUCGGAAUCGCUAGUAAUCGUGGAUCAGAAUGCCACGGUGAAUACGUUCCCGGGCCUUGUACACACCGCCCGUCACACCAUGGGAGUGGGUUGCAAAAGAAGUAGGUAGCUUAACCUUCGGGAGGGCGCUUACCACUUUGUGAUUCAUGACUGGGGUGAAGUCGUAACAAGGUAACCGUAGGGGAACCUGCGGUUGGAUCACCU